GCCUGCGGAUGCUUUACCAUGCAGUCGAGCGGCAGCGCGGUCUUCGGACUGGCGGCGAGCGGCGAACGGGUGAGUAAUACAUCGGAACAUGCCCAGUCGUGGGGGAUAACACUUCGAAAGAAGUGCUAAUACCGCAUACGUCCUGAGGGAGAAAGCGGGGGAUCGCAAGACCUCGCGCGAUUGGAGUGGCCGAUGUCAGAUUAGCUAGUUGGUGGGGUAAAGGCCUACCAAGGCAACGAUCUGUAGCUGGUCUGAGAGGAUGAUCAGCCACACUGGGACUGAGACACGGCCCAGACUCCUACGGGAGGCAGCAGUGGGGAAUUUUGGACAAUGGGGGCAACCCUGAUCCAGCCAUUCCGCGUGAGUGAAGAAGGCCUUCGGGUUGUAAAGCUCUUUCGGCAGGAACGAAACGGCGAGCUCUAACAUAGCUCGCUAAUGACGGUACCUGAAGAAGAAGCACCGGCUAACUACGUGCCAGCAGCCGCGGUAAUACGUAGGGUGCGAGCGUUAAUCGGAAUUACUGGGCGUAAAGCGUGCGCAGGCGGUUGUGUAAGACAGGUGUGAAAUCCCCGGGCUUAACCUGGGAACUGCGCUUGUGACUGCACGGCUAGAGUAUGGCAGAGGGGGGUGGAAUUCCACGUGUAGCAGUGAAAUGCGUAGAGAUGUGGAGGAACACCGAUGGCGAAGGCAGCCCCCUGGGCCAAUACUGACGCUCAUGCACGAAAGCGUGGGGAGCAAACAGGAUUAGAUACCCUGGUAGUCCACGCCCUAAACGAUGUCGACUAGGUGUUCGGUGAGGAGACUCAUUGAGUACCGCAGCUAACGCGUGAAGUCGACCGCCUGGGGAGUACGGUCGCAAGAUUAAAACUCAAAGGAAUUGACGGGGACCCGCACAAGCGGUGGAUGAUGUGGAUUAAUUCGAUGCAACGCGAAAAACCUUACCUACCCUUGACUUGUACGGAACCCUGCUGAAAGGUGGGGGUGCUCGAAAGAGAGCCGUAACACAGGUGCUGCAUGGCUGUCGUCAGCUCGUGUCGUGAAAUGUUGGGUUAAGUCCCGCAACGAGCGCAACCCUUGUCAUUAGUUGCUACGCAAGAGCCUCUAAUGGAACUGCCGGUGACAACCGGAGGAAAGUGGGGAUAACCUCAAGCUCCCUGGCCCUAAGGGGAGGGUUCACCGCUUACAAGGGCCGUACAAGGGUUUGCCACCCCGAGUGGGGCAUCUCCCAAAGGCAUUGAUGCCGGACCUUGUGGACUCACCGUGGAUUGAAGGCCUAAAUCGGAGAAGAUCCGCGAAAUUUCCCGG
Molecule: ribosomal RNA, 1305 nt
Filed under: Methyloversatilis sp.
Lineage: Bacteria; Pseudomonadati; Pseudomonadota; Betaproteobacteria; Nitrosomonadales; Sterolibacteriaceae
Description: bacterial SSU rRNA
Rfam family: Bacterial small subunit ribosomal RNA
Source: RNAcentral